This 484-nucleotide ribosomal RNA is filed under the name uncultured bacterium. RNAcentral describes it as "partial 16S ribosomal RNA". It matches the Rfam family "Bacterial small subunit ribosomal RNA", at positions 30 to 507 of the family's 1533-position model. The record is from RNAcentral.
AUUGAACGCUGGCGGCAGGCCUAACACAUGCAAGUCGAGCGGAUGAAGGGAGCUUGCUCCUGGAUUCAGCGGCGGACGGGUGAGUAAUGCCUAGGAAUCUGCCUGGUAGUGGGGGAUAACGUCCGGAAACGGGCGCUAAUACCGCAUACGUCCUGAGGGAGAAAGUGGGGGAUCUUCGGACCUCACGCUAUCAGAUGAGCCUAGGUCGGAUUAGCUAGUUGGUGGGGUAAAGGCCUACCAAGGCGACGAUCCGUAACUGGUCUGAGAGGAUGAUCAGUCACACUGGAACUGGGACACGGUCCAGACUACUAAGGGAGGCAGCAGUGGGGAAUAUUGGACAAUGGGCGAAAGCCUGAUCCAGCCAUGCCGCGUGUGUGAAGAAGGUCUUCGGAUUGUAAAGCACUUUAAGUUGGGAGGAAGGGCAGUAAGUUAAUACCUUGCUGUUUUGACGUUACCAACAGAAUAAGCACCGGCUAACUUCGUG